This 879-nucleotide long non-coding RNA is filed under the name Gossypium barbadense (sea-island cotton). Its description in RNAcentral is "long non-coding RNA (GBAR_LNC013041)". The record is from RNAcentral. Lineage: Eukaryota; Viridiplantae; Streptophyta; Magnoliopsida; Malvales; Malvaceae.
UCCAUUAACAACAGUUCAUAACAGCUAAAGUUCAUAACAGCUAUUGUUUAGAAUAAUGACGUUUCAAAAAUAGUUAUGUUUAGAAAAUUUAUUAUUUAGAAUAAUUUGUAUUUAGAACAAUUGUGGUUUUUCAGAAGAGUUAUUGUACAGCCCAAUUUUCGGCCCAAAUAACUCCCAAAUAAUUCCAGACCCAAACUAAUCAAAACCUAGCCCAAAACCCACUAAACAUAUGAGCCCAAUACCCACUAAAUCCAAAACCCAAUAGCAGCCCAAUUCAAACCCUAAAACAAAAAGAACCAAAAACCCUAGCUGCUGCCUCCCUGUCCCAUCCUCCACCGACGCCUGCAAGCACCGCCACUGUGCCACCGCCCCACUUGCGCAUGCAACAUUAAAAGAGGAGAAUAGACAGAUAUUAAAAAAAGGGGCAUGUAAAUGGCUAUUUAAAAGCCAAAUCAAGGACCAUUUUACGUUCGGUUCUUCUUGAAAUGAAAAACAUUAUUAGAUCUUAAAGAACACAAAACAAGUAACAGAGAUUUCAUCAACAUCAAAAGCAGAAAAAACGAAGCCUAAGGAAGAAAUCAAAACCAGAGAUCGAAAGGUGUUUAAAUUUUCUAAGUUUCGAAUCGGUUCUUUUUUCUUUUUUCUUUUUUUUACUUUUCUUUUCCUGAUUACAUGGUUGUGCAUAUAUAUAUUAUUAAAAUAAAGAGGAAAAUAAAAAAAUGAAAUAAAAAAUACACCUUUUUCGAAAGCGGUGGCCGGCGAUGGCGCCCGCGGCGGAGGACGGUGGCUGUUCGCCGGAGCCCAGACCGGACCAGGAGAACCUGCACAGAGAAAAAAGAAGCAUUUUUUUGAUAAACAAAAGGGAAGAAUGGAAUUUUU